Molecule: long non-coding RNA, 694 nt
Filed under: Nicotiana tabacum (common tobacco)
Lineage: Eukaryota; Viridiplantae; Streptophyta; Magnoliopsida; Solanales; Solanaceae
Description: long non-coding RNA (NTAB_LNC007875)
Source: RNAcentral
CACACACACAACCACGUCGACAACACACACUCACACACAACCACGGCGACGUAGCACACACACAAUCCGCGGCUUCACCAACAUGAACGACCAUCCAUGUUCGAUUCCUCCAUUGUCGCUUCUGUUGCAUCGUCUGCUUCUUCUGCUGCUGCUGCACGUCGAGCAGUUGGUUCGAAGCCACUCCGUCGCCACUGUUUUGUCGUCAACCAAGCAGACCACGCUGCUGCUUCUUCGUCGCAGCUGCUGCCCGUGUCCGCCAUUGACGCAGCCAUUUCUGCUCCUUCACCUGCUGCUCGACGUGCGCUGCUGCCUCUUCGCCAUGACCAGCACUGUUGUUCACGUUUUUGUUACUGUGUUGCUGCUAUUCCAUCGCUGCUGCCUUCCUUCUCGCGUCUAGCCAUGGCUUCUACUAUUCACGCAGCUGUGGCUGCAUCGUCACUUCAUAUUCUUCGCGAAAACCCUCCCAAACGCACCCCAACUGCUGCUGCUCACGUUUCCGCCAUGGACGAGCAAGCUUUGAUGCUGCCAUGGCCAGCUGCGGACUGCUGCUCCUUCCUCUCCAUCUUCUUCGUUUAUUCGUCGUUGUUUCGAAUCGGUUAGUUGGUUUAUGUUUUCAAAUUUCGUCCAUAUUUUUUUUGUUGUUCGUUGUUUUUCGGAUUCAAAAUCGAUAAAUGAUUCAAUGUUUGUUUUGUUU